AGUCGUACGGGCCGCAAGGCCAGUGGCGCAAGGGUGAGUAAGGCGACGGUAACCAACCCCAUGACUGGGUAUAGCCGCGGGAAACUGCGGGUAAUCCCCAGCGAUGUCCCGGAUUGGCAUCUUUCUGGGACCAAAGCUCCGGCGUCGUGGGACGGGCCGUCGUGGUAUUAGGUAGUUGGCGGGGUAACGGCCCACCAAGCCGAUGAUGCCUACCGGGCGUGCGAGCGCGACCCGGCACGCUGGGACUGAGACACUGCCCAGACUCCUACGGGAGGCUGCAGUCGAGAAUCUUCGGCAAUGGGCGCAAGCCUGACCGAGCGACGCCGCGUGGAGGACGAAGGCCUUCGGGUUGUAAACUCCUGUCGAGGGGGAAGAAGGUCGGGUAACCGACUUGGCUGAUCCCUGGAGGAAGCACGGGCUAAGUUCGUGCCAGCAGCCGCGGUAAGACGAACCGUGCGAACGUUAUUCGGAAUCACUGGGCUUAAAGCGCGUGUAGGCGGGACGGCACGUCGGUCGUUGAAAUCCCCCGGCUCAACUGGGGAACGGGCGCCGAUACGACCGUCCUGGAGGGACGUAGGGGGACCUGGAACUUCCGGUGGAGCGGUGAAAUGCGUUGAGAUCGGAAGGAACGCCCGUGGCGAAAGCGAGGUCCUGGACGUUUUCUGACGCUGAGACGCGAAAGCCAGGGGAGCGAACGGGGAUUUAGAUACCCCGGUUAGUCCUGGCCGUAAACGAUGGGCACUUGGGUAGGGGGCUCGCCGGAUGGCUCCCUGCCGUAGGGAAAACCGUGAAGUGCCCCCGCCUGGGGAGUAUGGUCCCCAAGGCUGAAACUUCA
This 835-nucleotide ribosomal RNA is filed under the name uncultured soil bacterium. RNAcentral's name for it is "bacterial SSU rRNA". It matches the Rfam family "Bacterial small subunit ribosomal RNA", at positions 60 to 904 of the family's 1533-position model. The record is from RNAcentral.